RNAcentral lists this ribosomal RNA (450 nucleotides) under uncultured bacterium. RNAcentral's name for it is "bacterial SSU rRNA". It matches the Rfam family "Bacterial small subunit ribosomal RNA", at positions 335 to 800 of the family's 1533-position model. The record is from RNAcentral.
ACUCCUACGGGAGGCAGCAGUGGGGAAGUAUUGCACAAUAGGGCGGCAAGCCUGAUGCAGCAACGCCGUGUGAGUGAAGAAGGUUUUCGGAUCGUAAACUCUGUCCUAAGGGAAGAAAAAAUAGACGGUACCUUAGGAGGAAGCCCGGCUAACUACGUGCCAGCAGCCGCGGUAAUACGUAGGGGCAAGCGUUAUCCGGAAUCACUGGGCGUAAAGGGUGCGUAGGCGGCUUAGCAAGCCAGGGUGAAAGGCAUUGGCUCAACCAAUGUAAGCCUUUGGAACUGUUAAGCUUGAGUGCAGGAGAGGUAAGUGGAAUUCCUAGUGUAGAGGUGAAAUUCGUAGAUAUUAGGAGGAACACCAGUGGCGAAGGCGACUUACUGGACUGUAACUGACGCUGAUGCACGGAAAGCGUGGGUAGCGAACAGGAUUAGAUACCCUGGUAGGUCAGUC